GAUGAAUGCUGGCGGCGUGCCUAACACAUGCAAGUCGAGCGGCAACGCGAGUAGUUUACUACUUGGCGGCGAGCGGCGGACGGCUGAGUAACGCGUGGGAACAUGCCCCAAAGUGAGGAAUAACCGCCCGAAAGGGUGGCUGAUGCCGCAUAUGAUCUUCGGAUUAAAGGAUUUAUCCGCUUUGGGAAUGGCCUGCGUAC
This 200-nucleotide ribosomal RNA is filed under the name uncultured bacterium. RNAcentral describes it as "partial 16S ribosomal RNA". It matches the Rfam family "Bacterial small subunit ribosomal RNA", at positions 28 to 238 of the family's 1533-position model. The record is from RNAcentral.